ACGAGCGAGUGCUUAAAACUCAAAGAACUUGGCGGCUUGUUAACUACCUAGGGGAAUAUGCGCCUUAAUCCGAUGGUCCCCGUAGCAUCUUACUGGAUCUUGAAAAAGUGCAGUUGGUGUAUUGCCGUUGUCAGCUUGUUGUUCGAGCAAGGAAAAAACAGGCUUAAUGGAUCUUGGUGAUUAUGUUCACGAGAACCCGUGAAUUCAGGUCGUAAUGCUGCCUACGGUCCAAGGGAGUGGGUAUUACAAUUUAUAUUUAAAAUUACGGAACUUUAUUUUGAAAUUUUAGAGUGGAAGGUGAACUUAGGAGUAA
Molecule: ribosomal RNA, 313 nt
Filed under: Nodipecten nodosus
Lineage: Eukaryota; Metazoa; Mollusca; Bivalvia; Pectinida; Pectinidae
Description: partial 12S ribosomal RNA
Rfam family: Bacterial small subunit ribosomal RNA
Source: RNAcentral